Molecule: ribosomal RNA, 765 nt
Filed under: uncultured Streptococcus sp.
Lineage: Bacteria; Bacillati; Bacillota; Bacilli; Lactobacillales; Streptococcaceae
Description: bacterial SSU rRNA
Rfam family: Bacterial small subunit ribosomal RNA
Source: RNAcentral
GAUGAACGCUGGCGGCGUGCCUAAUACAUGCAAGUAGAACGCUGAAGCUUGGUGCUUGCACCGAGCGGAUGAGUUGCGAACGGGUGAGUAACGCGUAGGUAACCUGCCUCUUAGCGGGGGAUAACUAUUGGAAACGAUAGCUAAUACCGCAUAAAAGUCGACAUCGCAUGAUGUUGACUUGAAAGGUGCAAUUGCAUCACUAAGAGAUGGACCUGCGUUGUAUUAGCUAGUUGGUGAGGUAACGGCUCACCAAGGCGACGAUACAUAGCCGACCUGAGAGGGUGAUCGGCCACACUGGGACUGAGACACGGCCCAGACUCCUACGGGAGGCAGCAGUAGGGAAUCUUCGGCAAUGGGGGCAACCCUGACCGAGCAACGCCGCGUGAGUGAAGAAGGUUUUCGGAUCGUAAAGCUCUGUUGUAAGAGAAGAACGAGUGUGAGAGUGGAAAGCUCACACUGUGACGGUAACUUACCAGAAAGGGACGGCUAACUACGUGCCAGCAGCCGCGGUAAUACGUAGGUCCCGAGCGUUAUCCGGAUUUAUUGGGCGUAAAGCGAGCGCAGGCGGUUAGAUAAGUCUGAAGUUAAAGGCUGUGGCUUAACCAUAGUACGCUUUGGAAACUGUUUAACUUGAGUGCAGAAGGGGAGAGUGGAAUUCCAUGUGUAGCGGUGAAAUGCGUAGAUAUAUGGAGGAACACCGGUGGCGAAAGCGGCUCUCUGGUCUGUAACUGACGCUGAGGCUCGAAAGCGUGGGGAGCAAACAGG